Molecule: unclassified non-coding RNA, 286 nt
Filed under: uncultured fungus
Lineage: Eukaryota; Fungi
Description: partial contains small subunit ribosomal RNA, internal transcribed spacer 1, and 5.8S ribosomal RNA
Rfam family: Eukaryotic small subunit ribosomal RNA (bases 1-73)
Source: RNAcentral
GCAAACUUGGUCAUUUAGAGGAAGUAAAAGUCGUAACAAGGUCUCCGUUGGUGAACCAGCGGAGGGAUCAUUAGCGAGUCUCUGAACUCCCAACCUUUGUGAACAUACCAUCGUUGCUUCGGCGGAUCGCCCCAGGGCCGGCAGUGCACGGUCUGCCCUGGAGCCAGGCGCCCGCCGGGGACCCAAACCUCUUGUUUUUUUCAGUGGAAUCUUCUGAGUCGUGGCAUAAAUAAUCAAAACUUUCAGCAACGGAUCUCUUGGUUCUCCCAUCGAUGAAGAACGCAGC